This is a non-coding RNA of Mycena capillaripes, 98 nucleotides long. Lineage: Eukaryota; Fungi; Basidiomycota; Agaricomycetes; Agaricales; Mycenaceae. The record is from the annotation of a GenBank genome assembly.
GUCCUCGUGGAGUGUGGUAACUCACUCCCACCUGUUUGUGGCAUCCAAAUAGUAACAAAUUCGUGGGAGGGUCGGUGGUUCGAAUCCACCCGGGGACA